GUCUCCACUGUGUAGCCUUGGAGAAGUUACUUCACUCUCACGGCCUCACUUUCCUCCUCUGUGAAACGGGUUGCUGUGAGGAUUCAAUAAGUAAAGUGCUUAGGGGAGGCCAGGAGCUGUAUAAACAGCAGACUGUAAGCCCUCUGAGGAUAAACAAAGCUGCUGUGAACAUUCGCUGAGGUGCCGGUGCAGGUGUGCCAGUGUCCUGAACAAUGCCAGCACUGCAUCUGAUCCUUACAACAUCAUUUUCCAGGAGGGGAAACUGAGUCUCAGAGAGGCCAAGCGCCAUGACCAAGGAACACAGGGCUCUCAGGUUUCCAUAUUAUGUUUUGAGGACCAGUCUUCCUCACCCGUAGAAGAGGAAACAGUCACUUGUUAUUGUGAAAGAAAAAAGUGUUUGCAAAGAUCUUAGCUCUGGACUUAGUUCAUACUAAAUCUUCAAUGAAAUAAAGAUGAAAAUAUACUAGAUAAACGUGUAACUCACUCAAGCCCCUACCCCAGUUGCGAUGCUCACACUCUGCCUCCCUAAGAGAACAGGGCAGCCUGCAAGAGCCCCGCCCACUCCUCCCAGAGGCCAGGAGAGCACCGGACAGUUGGCAGGUGCUGCCUAGCCCAGCUGCCGACCACAUGGACAUCUGGAUCCCAGGAAGGGAUCAACCCAAACUCUCUCCCACAUUACUAAAGGACUGAGACACGCCAAGGCACCUGCCCAAGGCCUGUGUGGCCAGGAUGGCUGCCCUCCGGAGUGGGAAGGAAGCUGCCAGUUUCGAUCUGCACUGGUAAGGAGGGCGGCAAACCUGGUCACUCCCUGAGGAAUAGGCCACUCCCAGCCCGCCUGCUUCUCACGU
This is a long non-coding RNA of Balaenoptera acutorostrata (minke whale), 848 nucleotides long. RefSeq lists it as uncharacterized. The record is from RefSeq and is a predicted model, not a curated record. The transcript has 3 exons. NCBI's taxonomy places the organism in Eukaryota, Metazoa, Chordata, Mammalia, Artiodactyla, Balaenopteridae.